This 880-nucleotide long non-coding RNA is filed under the name Eptatretus burgeri (inshore hagfish). Its description in RNAcentral is "lncRNA (ENSEBUG00000017331.1)". The record is from RNAcentral. Lineage: Eukaryota; Metazoa; Chordata; Myxini; Myxiniformes; Myxinidae.
CUGUACCAUAGAAUAUCUUAUUAGGAAUAUUGCUGCUGUCUCAGAAAGGUAUUCUUACAAUGUUGAAUGGAAAAGCAUCACAUUUAACAAAUAAUUUUGUGUUAUGUUUAUUAUUAUUAUUAUUAUUGAGAUCGAUUUGUAAUUCCAAAAAAGAAACUGAAGUGCGAGUUUGGUUUUCAUUUUUUAAUUCGAGUUUUUUUGGAUAUUCUGUAUAUCAUCAUGAGGCUGAUCAAAUACAACACGUAUGAUUGUAUGUAUGUAACGGCUUUCAUAAGAAUGGCUCGACUUGCUCGGAGGAUUCUCAAGGGAGAGAAGAAGGUUCCACUUGGAGUGCAGGAAAGCUUCAAUGGCUUCAUUUCACGGAAGAACGCGUUCUCGGGCCGGACAGAAAAGACUUCGCAAUUAAAGUGCAUUGGCGAACUCUCGUACGAGCGACACCGGACGCGAACUCGUCCGCAGCUGCUUCGUGAAUGGACUUUUGCUCUUUUGAAGGAGGAAAGAAACUGGAUUAAACGGAAGGCAUUCUGGGCUUGUUAUGCAAGGUUCAUGAAGAAAACGAACAGACAUCAUGCUCCGAAACGCAAAGCAAGAGUUUACUCUUCUCAUGUGCUUUUUCUCAAGACUCCAUAUAGGGGCAAGGUAUCACAUCAUGCCGUCGUCAAGCCCGAGGACCAGUCUGCCAGCAAUGGGGGGCAUUUGUGGACAUUAAAGACCCCACGCUACCCUUCGUGAAUAGCCGAAGCCUGGGAUGCACCGUUACAGACACAGAGUCACAAUAUCAUUGGAAUGAAGCGAUCACGUGUGGAGGCGAAGAUUCGCAUUGUGACGUCAUCGGAUGAUAAAGGAUGCGAGAUGCACGUUCUUCAACAGGAAUUUGUGA